UACGUAGGGGGCGAGCGUUGUCCGGAUUCAUUGGGCGUAAAGGGCGAGUAGGUGGUUAUGCAAGUCGGACGUGAAAACUCCAGGCUCAACCUGGAGACGCCGCCCGAUACUGCAUUGACUAGAGUUCGGUAGGGGAUCACGGAAUACCUGGUGUAGCGGUGAAAUGCGCAGAUAUCAGGUGGAACACCGGUGGCGAAGGCGGUGAUCUGGGCCGACACUGACACUGAAUCGCGAAAGCGUGGGGAGCGAACAGGAUUAGAAACCCCGUAGUCC
This 273-nucleotide ribosomal RNA is filed under the name uncultured bacterium. Its description in RNAcentral is "partial 16S ribosomal RNA". It matches the Rfam family "Bacterial small subunit ribosomal RNA", at positions 524 to 796 of the family's 1533-position model. The record is from RNAcentral.